ACGGGCGUCUGCAUUAACAUGCAGUCGACGGCAGCAUGAUCUAGCUUGCUAGAUUGAUGGCGAGUGGCGAACGGGUGAGUAAUACAUCGGAACGUGCCCUGUAGUGGGGGAUAACUAGUCGAAAGAUUAGCUAAUACCGCAUACGACCUGAGGGUGAAAGUGGGGGACCGCAAGGCCUCAUGCUAUAGGAGCGGCCGAUGUCUGAUUAGCUAGUUGGUGAGGUAAAGGCUCACCAAGGCGACGAUCAGUAGCUGGUCUGAGAGGAGAUCAGCCAUACUGGGACUGAGACACGGCCCAGACUCAUACGGGAGGCAGCAGUGGGGAAUUUUGGACAAUGGGCGAAAGCCUGAUCCAGCAAUGCCGCGUGUGUGAAGAAGGCCUUCGGGUUGUAAAGCACUUUUGUCCGGAAAGAAAUGGCUCUGGUUAAUACCUGGGGUCGAUGACGGUACCGGAAGAAUAAGGACCGGCUAACUACGUGCCAGCAGCCGCGGUAAUACGUAGGGUCCAAGCGUUAAUCGGAAUUACUGGGCGUAAAGCGUGCGCAGGCGGUUGUGCAAGACCGAUGUGAAAUCCCCGAGCUUAACUUGGGAAUUGCAUUGGUGACUGCACGGCUAGAGUGUGUCAGAGGGGGGUAGAAUUCCACGUGUAGCAGUGAAAUGCGUAGAGAUGUGGAGGAAUACCGAUGGCGAAGGCAGCCCCCUGGGAUAACACUGACGCUCAUGCACGAAAGCGUGGGGAGCAAACAGGAUUAGAUACCCUGGUAGUCCACGCCCUAAACGAUGUCAACUAGUUGUUGGGGAUUCAUUUCCUUAGUAACGUAGCUAACGCGUGAAGUUGACCGCCUGGGGAGUACGGUCGCAUGAUUAAUAUCUAGUUGAGAGGGUGACUGGG
Molecule: ribosomal RNA, 891 nt
Filed under: Ralstonia sp.
Lineage: Bacteria; Pseudomonadati; Pseudomonadota; Betaproteobacteria; Burkholderiales; Burkholderiaceae
Description: bacterial SSU rRNA
Rfam family: Bacterial small subunit ribosomal RNA
Source: RNAcentral